This 429-nucleotide ribosomal RNA is filed under the name Pseudomonadota bacterium. Its description in RNAcentral is "Proteobacteria bacterium partial 16S ribosomal RNA". It matches the Rfam family "Bacterial small subunit ribosomal RNA", at positions 355 to 776 of the family's 1533-position model. The record is from RNAcentral. Lineage: Bacteria; Pseudomonadati; Pseudomonadota.
UGGGGAAUAUUGGACAAUGGGCGAAAGCCUGAUCCAGCCAUGCCGCGUGUGUGAAGAAGGUCUUCGGAUUGUAAAGCACUUUAAGUUGGGAGGAAGGGCAGUAAGCGAAUACCUUGCUGUUUUGACGUUACCGACAGAAUAAGCACCGGCUAACUCUGUGCCAGCAGCCGCGGUAAUACAGAGGGUGCAAGCGUUAAUCGGAAUUACUGGGCGUAAAGCGCGCGUAGGUGGUUCGUUAAGUUGAAUGUGAAAACCCCGGGCUCAACCUGGGAACUGCAUCCAAAACUGGCGGGCUAGAGUAGGGCAGAGGGUGGUGGAAUUUCCUGUGUGGCGGUGAAAUGCGUAGAUAUAGGAAGGAACACCAGUGGCGAAGGCGACCACCUGGGCUCAUACUGACACUGAGGUGCGAAAGCGUGGGGAGCAAACAGG